CGCCCGAUAGCACAUGGUGUGCAACUGCCUGUCUUAGGCGGUAUGAUUUGUCAUUAGACUGCAAGAGGUUCCCGUUCGAUUCGGGAUCGGGUGA
Molecule: non-coding RNA, 94 nt
Organism: Mycena leptocephala
Lineage: Eukaryota; Fungi; Basidiomycota; Agaricomycetes; Agaricales; Mycenaceae
Source: the annotation of a GenBank genome assembly